CCCCCGGAGACUGUCGCCGUCGUCGGAAACUGGGGAUUUCGAAAAAUCUUAUUUUCUCACUUGUUUCUUCAUCAUUUUCCACAAAAUUGGUACCAAAAUGAAGCUAAUAACAUGUAGAAUCAUGUUAUAUAAGUUUCAAGGCUUAAAAUCUACUAGGUUUUCCCUAAGAAAGCUCGAUAGUUCAACUUACCUAGAUAUACAUCGAUCUCAGCCUUCCGACGUCCAAUUCCUUCCAACGAAGUACCCUGAGACUCGUGAGGACCUCCUUAAGCUUCCUAUAAGCUUCAAAUUCCCUGAAACACAAGAUUUCACGUAUGCAUGAACUGUGACAAAAUCGGAGCUAGGGUUUCCACGUGAAAUCGAAGGUUUCCUUACCUAAAAAUAGUACCAAUCGAAUCAUCUGAGCUUCACGAACACAAUGGUGUGUUUCACACCCUCGAUCUGUCAUGCUUCAGUGGGUUUUGGGUGUCGUCCGUACAAAAGAGAAGAGAGAGUGAGUCUGAGAGAGAGAGAGCACGGGAGAGGAGAGAGAGAAUGAGGUUCGUGUGUGUGUGUUUCCCACGUGGUCACCAACCAACCAAGAACAUGACAUCCAAGUACCAAAAUAUGUCACACACACAUACACUACAAUUUCAACGUCUAAGGAUAAAACUGUCCUUUCAUGUCCUCGAGAAUAAAAUAAUACAUAUCUCUGGGACGAGCUGUGACAGGUUAACCAAACAAGAAAAUUCAUAAAUUCUAGAAAAUAAAAUCCCUUCAUUUAAAUUCCCUCAUUUUAAAUUUCCGUAGUCAUCUUAAAUUUCUUCAUCCAAACAUAGUGUUACUGUCGUUAAUUAACAUCGCAAGUAUUCAUUCACAUUCCAUCUAAAUUAAAUUGCACAUGAAGGUCACACACACGUAAAAACAAUACAAAUUAAAUGGCUUUUUUAGAUUCAUAUCAGCCUCGUGUCAAACUUCUGGACAAAACCUUAACGAAAGACUUAAAUGUGAAAAUGGUCUCUAUGUUAUAGCCAUAUGGCUAAUUUAGUCCCUGUGUUUUCGAUUUGGUUAAUUUAGUCCAUGUGUUUGUUUCUGUUAGCUAAUUAAUGACAUUUCAUUCAAUCUCUUUUAAAAAAUUCAUAAGAAAAAUUAUAUGAGAUAUAAUUACCCUUUCUCAUUACAUAAAAAUACAAAUCAAUGAGAAAUAACACAUGUAAGAGAUAAAAGCUUCCAAUCUGAAAAAUGAUUGAGGUUGUGACAUAGAAAAGGGAGGGGGUAAUGUUAGGGAGGAGGUCAAGGAGUUGGUAGGAGAAUAAUUUUCCU
This 1302-nucleotide long non-coding RNA is filed under the name Malus domestica (apple). Its description in RNAcentral is "long non-coding RNA (MDOM_LNC001962)". The record is from RNAcentral. Lineage: Eukaryota; Viridiplantae; Streptophyta; Magnoliopsida; Rosales; Rosaceae.